UCGAGAAUCAUUCACAAUGGACGAAAGUCUGAUGGUGCGACGCCGCGUGGGGGAUGAAGGCCUUAGGGUCGUAAACCCCUGUCGGUUGCGAGUAAGGCCUAGCUUACGCUAGGAUUGAUAUUAGCAACAAAGGAAGGGACGGCUAACUCCGUGCCAGCAGCCGCGGUAAUACGGAGGUCCCAAGCGUUGUUCGGAUUUACUGGGCGUAAAGCGUGCGUAGGCGGCGAAAUAAGUUUGGCGUGAAAUCCCCGGGCCCAACCCGGGAAUUGCGCUGAAAACUAUCUUGCUAGAGGAUUGGAGGGGAGACUGGAAUUCCUGGUGUAGCAGUGAAAUGCGUAGAUAUCAGGAGGAACACCGGUGGCGAAGGCGAGUCUCUGGACAAUUCCUGACGCUGAGGUACGAAGGCUAGGGUAGCGAAGAGG
RNAcentral lists this ribosomal RNA (422 nucleotides) under uncultured bacterium. RNAcentral's name for it is "bacterial SSU rRNA". It matches the Rfam family "Bacterial small subunit ribosomal RNA", at positions 355 to 776 of the family's 1533-position model. The record is from RNAcentral.